CCAGCCCACCUACGCGGCAGCCUGUUGCUGAGCGAAAAGAAAAGGCAGGCGGGGAUGUUCGCGGCGCAGAACAGGAAGCAGCCCGGCCCCUCGGAACCGGUCCCGGGAGGGCUGUGCUUCCCCACGCAACCCAGUCUGCCACGUCAAACUUCCUCACUGACGGCACCAAGUUAGAGAAACCUGACUCAGCUGCAGGCGGCGACAUGGCAGAAAGCCACUUGACCCCGGCAGGCCGGGACCCAAAGCCGGGGCGCGCGGCUCCCAGAACGACCCCUCACCCCAGGCCACGGUCUCCCGGCAACUGUAGCCAUGGUGCGCUUCUCCCCUUGGUGCAAGUUUGGAUUUGGCCCAGUCACUCUCACUCCCAGGAUGUCCCGACGCUUAAAGACACAGUUGCCGUUUUUACUGUGAAUAUUUGGAAUAUCCCCUUCCUCCAAGAAAAUGAAAAUUUAAGUGGAUUGCGGAGACAGUGACACCGGCACCCGUGGCGACCUGGCGGUUCCGGCAUCCCCCGGCGUUAAGUGGGGGCGGGUUGCCGCUGUUCAUUCAUUACGUUAUUACUUGAAUAACUGCCGAUACACACAGGUCCAUGACGUAUUCGUGCAGCACCAGGCAGCCUGGCGACAUGUGAGGUAGGAGGGAGAACGGAUACCCCUGCCGAGAAGUGGGGGCCGAGGUAGCAGCGUCUCCAGGGAAGCUGGGAUGCUAACGUGCUGUAUCCUCCCGGUGCAUAGCCCAGGGUGGCUGAUCACAAACCCAAACAGCCUGUAGCUCACUGCCCUGUGAGAAACCCUUGAGAAAUGAAGGCAAUCCCUGUGAAACCUGGGACUUGGCCUCUGCAUCUCAAUCAGGACCAUCUGGCUGGUUUCCCACCCACUUGGCUCAAACAUUUUUUUUAAAGAUUUAUUUUAUUAAUUUUAAAUAGAGAGGUAGAGAGGUCUUCCAUCCUCUGGUUCACUCCCCAAGGCCACAAAGGCAGGAGCAGAGACCAUCUGAAGCCAGAAGCGAGGAGCUUCUUCCAGUUUCCCACAUGGGUGCAGGGGCCCAAGGACUUGGGCCAUCUUCUACUGCUUUCCCAGGCCAUAGCAGAGAGCUGGAUCUGAAGAGGAGCAGCUAGGACUAGAACCAGUGUCCAUAUGAGAGGUUUGUGCUUUAGGCCAGGGCUUUAACCUGCUGCGCCACAGCGCCGGCCCCCAAACUUAUGAAAUAAAACCAGCCCAAUGUUUUUUUUUUUUUUUCUUUUCAAAAUGUACUUUCUUCUUGGCUACCAGAACUACAUAAAUAAAAGCUACUUACCAUUGAACUGCCAGGUAAAAAACUUAUCCAGAGAUCUUGCCACUGCUAGGAAUGCUACAUGAAUUGUGUGUGAAUUUUCAGGCAUUUCAGCACUGCAGAGUUUUGGUCCCUUUCCCCACUCAUAAAUUUCGGCUCUGGUCAGGUUUGAAAAUGUUGUUUUAAGUCAUUCUUAUAUUCUCAACAUGGUAAAAAUGUUUGCUAGAGGUUUAGAAAGUUUUGGCCUGUGCUGAAGGAGUUUUUCUAUCACAGCUGUAUCCAAAGAGAAGCGUGACAGUAAUGACAAGCACAGGACAUGAUAGAAACAGUCACAGUGUAUGAUGAGGUGGUUGGCUUGUGCCUCUCUAACACUGUUAAAUUUGAGUUGCUCAGGGACCAAACUUGUCUGGAAAAAGAAUGUGGCUUCAGUUUUGAGACAGUUUGGAAGCUGGAAGGGACUUUUCAGGUGUUAAGUGUUCAACUCCAUAAUAGACUCCAUAAUAGACUGAAUGCAGUCUAUUUAAUAGGUUAAGAAACAGGGUAAUUCAGAAAAUGGCUUAGUAGUCUUAAACCUAGCUGGAAGCCAUGCCUUCUGAUUCUAAUUCCAAAGCUCCUCACUUCUAUUUUUUUCUUUUAUACUAUUAUGAUUUGCUAUCUUUAUUCACCAUUUCUGCCCUUUUUCUCCUGAGAGUGACAUAGACAAGUUCUCAAAUAACUAAAAAUUAACUGUCCUCGCAAUUCCACUGGUGAUUGGCUAGUGAAUCAGAAAUGUCUUUUCCUUAGGAUGUGGCCUUCUAGGUUCAGUCUAGCUUCCCGUCUUCUGACCCAGGAGCCCACCCCUUCAGUAACUCCUAACCUGGUUCCCGUGGUUCCGUCUCUGGCCUUCACCAAUCUCAAGCAGCAGCCUGGAAUCCCAGCCUUCCUUGGCCUGAUCCGUGUUGUUGCCACCUGAGCUGAGCUUCUGAAGUUCCACAUGUAAUUAAUUUGAUCUCCCGGGAAACCAUACCCUAAUGGAAAACUGACAUCACAAGGAAUGUCCAUGUGCUAAGGUUCUGUGUUCUUUAGGGUUCUUUCUGUUCCUGAGAUUCUUUCUGUUCCAGCAUAGGAAAGGAAAACAGUUAACCAUGCAAAUGACUAUAUAGAAUUCUAUGGAAGAGAUGUCUUGACAGAGCUCUUGGCUCCUUCUAAUUGAAAGCCUUUAAGAUCAGAGCUACAGGGGCCGGCGUUGUGGUGUAGCAGACAUCUCUUGAAUAUGCGACAUAACAGAAGACCACUGGAUUAUCACAACCACUUCCAUAAUUAACCUGAUACGAUGCCCUGCUCUCCUUCAAGCACAGAAGAAAAUCUAGCUUCACACAAAUAUGUACUAUGGAAAAAGAGGGACUUUGCCAAAUGACACUUUCUUGAUGGAGCUCAGUAUACACAAGCACUUCAGGACUGCAAAGAGAGUUAUUGAAGAGCAAUCUGGAAGAAAGAGAAUACCAAGGUUCUGAAAGCACAAGUGACUCAUGCAAGGCGGUACAGACAAUAGCAGAGCUAGGCUUGGAAUUCGCACGAAUGUUCUGUCUCUCCACCUACCUAUGCUGCCCAUUGAAACUAACAAGCAGUCACCAACUGAUCAGAAUAUAUUUAUGACAUAAAUCCAUGACGACCACCACUGCAACACAGAGAACAGGACUCUGCUCAGAUGUCACCUCCUCAUGCCAAAAAGGCUUUCCUGGGAGUAGCCAACCUUCCUCCAUAAACCCCAUACACGCAGCUUUAUUUUUCUUCCUAGCACUUGCCAACAGCUGGUAAAACAGAGUGAUUUUUGUUUAUUGUUUCUCCUGUGUGUUAGAAUAUGAGCUUCUGCAGGGCCUGGGUGUUGUCUGAAUUGUUCAGUUCUAUAUGUCUUGUACCUAGAACAGUGCCUGUUGUAAAUAAUGAAACUGUGUUAGAUGAAUGGACAAAGCAGAGUAGCUAGCCCGCCUGUGAUCUGCUGAUAGCACACACUGUUUGGUCAGGUAAAUAUUAUUGCAGGGCAACAAAAUGCAGCAAUGCGUUUAUACUUUUGCAUAUUCAGUUACAAGUGGUUCUCAACUUUUUUUUUUUUUUUUUUUUUUAAGAUUUAUUUAUCGGGGCUGGUGCUGUGGCUCAGUGGGUUAAAGCCCUGGCCUGAAGCACCAGCAUCCCAUAUAGGUGCUGGUUCGAGUCCCAGCUGCUCCACUUUUGAUCCAGCUCUCUGCUAUGGCCUAGGAAAGCAGUGGAGGAUCGCCCAAGUCCUUGGGCCCCUGCACCCAUGUGGGAGACUGAGAAGAAGCUUCUGGCUCCUGGCUUCAGAUCGGCACAGCUCCAGCCAUUGCAGCCAUUUGGGGAGUAAGCCAGCAGAUGGAAGACCUCUUUCUCU
This is a non-coding RNA of Oryctolagus cuniculus (rabbit), 3658 nucleotides long. NCBI's taxonomy places the organism in Eukaryota, Metazoa, Chordata, Mammalia, Lagomorpha, Leporidae. The record is from RefSeq and is a predicted model, not a curated record.